Molecule: ribosomal RNA, 254 nt
Filed under: uncultured bacterium
Lineage: Bacteria
Description: partial 16S ribosomal RNA
Rfam family: Bacterial small subunit ribosomal RNA
Source: RNAcentral
UACGUAGGUGGCGAGCGUUGUCCGGAUUUACUGGGCGUAAAGAGCGCGCAGGCGGUCGUUCAAGUCGCGUGUGAAAGCCCCCGGCUCAACUGGGGAGGGUCACGCGAUACUGAUCGACUCGAAGGCAGGAGAGGGAAGUGGAAUUCCCGGUGUAGUGGUGGAAAUGCGUAGAUAUCGGGAGGAACACCAGUGGCGAAGGCGACUCCUGGCCUGUUCUUGACGCUGAGGUGCGAGAGCGUGGGGAGCGAACCGGG